UUAUCACUCUCUCUCUCUAACCUCAGGAGAACGUGGCAUCGUUCAACAGACUGAGAUGAUGACAGGGACGAUGACAGGGGAAAGAAGAGCCCAGCGUCCACACGCUUCACUGUCCCCAGGAGGUGACAGAGACAGCCCGAGAUAAGGGGGAAUCCAGGGGAGAUCCAGGUUCAUCAGGAUCACUGCCAUUUGGUACUAAACACCAAGCUGACGAUCACACACUUGGGGAAAUACAGCUCCAUCUCAGGUUCUGCUGUGGUGCAGUGGUUGCACAGCCUUUCCUCUACAGGGAGCCAGGUUUUCCUGUAUCUACCCUUCUCAAUGGCAAGGCUGUGCUCACUGAGCCUGUACUUUGUCAAGGAGGCAGAGAGCGGCCAGGACAAGACUGGGACUGAGGCUGGGACUGAGGCGGGGACUGAGGCUGGGACUGAGGCUGGGACUGAGGCUAGGACUGAGGCUGGGACUGAGGCUGGGACUGAGGCUGGGACUGAGGCCAGGACAAGACUGGGACUGAGGCUAGGACUGAGGCUGGGACUGAGGCUGGGACUGAAGCUAGGACUGAGGCUAGGACUGAGGCUGGGACUGAGGCUAGGACUGAGGCUGGGACUGAGGCUGGGACUGAGGCUAGGACUGAGGCUGGGACUGAGGCUGGGACUGAGGCUGGGACUGAGGCUGGGACUGGGACUGAGGCGGGGACUGAGGCUGGGACUGAGGCUGGGACUGAGGCUGGG
Molecule: long non-coding RNA, 731 nt
Organism: Oncorhynchus nerka (sockeye salmon)
Lineage: Eukaryota; Metazoa; Chordata; Actinopteri; Salmoniformes; Salmonidae
Exons: 3
Source: RefSeq, a predicted model, not a curated record